AACGAACGCUAGCGGCAGGCUUAACACAUGCAAGUCGAGCGCCCCUCACGGGGAGCGGCAGACGGGUGAGUAACGCGUGGGAAUCUACCCAACCCUGCGGAAUAGCUCCGGGAAACUGGAAUUAAUACCGCAUACGCCCUACGGGGGAAAGAUUUAUCGGGGAUGGAUGAGCCCGCGUUGGAUUAGCUAGUUGGUGGGGU
This 200-nucleotide ribosomal RNA is filed under the name uncultured bacterium. RNAcentral describes it as "partial 16S ribosomal RNA". It matches the Rfam family "Bacterial small subunit ribosomal RNA", at positions 29 to 258 of the family's 1533-position model. The record is from RNAcentral.